GACGAACGCUGGCGGCGUGCUUAACACAUGCAAGUCGUACGGUAAGGCCCUUUCUGGGGUACACGAGUGGCGAACGGGUGAGUAACACGUGAGUAACCUGCCCACAACUUUGGGAUAACGCUAGGAAACUGGUGCUAAUACUGGAUAUGUGCUCCUUCUGCAUGGUGGGGGUUGGAAAGCUCCUGGGGGUGUGGGUGGACUCGCGGCCUAUCAGCUUGUUGGUGGGGUAGUGGCCUACCAAGGCGGCGGCGGGUAGCCGGCCUGGGGGGGUGACCGGCCAAAAUGGGGCUGGGAUACGGCCCAGACUCCUACGGGAGGCAGCAGGGGGGAAUAUUGCAAAAUGGGCGCAAGCCUGAUGCAGCAAAGCCGCGUGCGGGAUGACGGCCUUCGGGUUGGAAACCGCCUUCAGCAGGGACGAAGCUUUUUGUGACGGUACCUGCAGAAGAAGCACCGGCUAACUACGUG
This 465-nucleotide ribosomal RNA is filed under the name uncultured bacterium. RNAcentral's name for it is "partial 16S ribosomal RNA". It matches the Rfam family "Bacterial small subunit ribosomal RNA", at positions 28 to 507 of the family's 1533-position model. The record is from RNAcentral.